GGCGAGGCGGCGCACUCAGAUGCCGCUUCCGGUUUCAGCUUGGCCCCGAGGCGGGGGAGCCUGGUGCACGACAGGAGCUCAGGACAAGCUGGACCUGCUCUGUGGCCUGCGGUGAGCCUCGAAGUUAUCCUAGCUGUCCAGUUCAGGUGCUGCUGGACCAGCAUGCACAGACACAAGUCAUGCCUCCUCUGGUGCCCAUGAAGCCCUGGCUGGGCAACCAUCCUCCGCCCCCAGAACAAUGUCUCUUGAAAGGAUGAAAGGACUCCUGGGCUCCCAAGUGUAAAGGAAGCAGCAUGCCUGUGAUGUCCCUCGCUGGAUGACCGUGGUUGCGUCCUGACCCCUUCUGGGUCUCAGUGGCCUCAGCUUCAAAGCCAGGUGUUUCUCUAGCUCUGACUGUUGAUUUUCUCCCCAGCCCGUUCCCGAACCCACCCUCCCAGUCCCUGUUCCCACUUCCCUUAGUGAUCCUCUCCCUCUAAUACUCCCCACACCACCUCCACCAAGAAGGCUCCCUGACCUUCCCAGGCACCAUGAGUUUCUACCCUCUCUGCACAAACAACUACGGGUGAAUAUUUUUAUAGUGAUGGCAGGAUUAGUGUUUUCACCUCUCCCCGCUCCAGGGGGAACCCCUGGAAGGGUGGGUUAAACUUUGUGUGAUUCA
This is a long non-coding RNA of Lagenorhynchus albirostris (white-beaked dolphin), 658 nucleotides long. RefSeq lists it as uncharacterized. NCBI's taxonomy places the organism in Eukaryota, Metazoa, Chordata, Mammalia, Artiodactyla, Delphinidae. The record is from RefSeq and is a predicted model, not a curated record. The transcript is spliced from 3 exons.